GACGAACCGAGCGAACGUUGUUCGGAAUCACUGGGCUUAAAGGGCGCGUAGGCGGGCCGCAAAGUCAGGGGUGAAAGCCUCCAGCUCAACUGGAGAAGUGCCUCUGAUACUGGCGGCCUCGAGGGAGAUAGGGGCGUGCGGAACUUCCGGUGGAGCGGUGAAAUGCGUAGAUAUCGGAAGGAACACCGGUGGCGAAAGCGGCGCGCUGGAUCUCUUCUGACGCUGAGGCGCGAAAGCCAGGGGAGCGAACGGG
This 253-nucleotide ribosomal RNA is filed under the name uncultured bacterium. RNAcentral describes it as "partial 16S ribosomal RNA". It matches the Rfam family "Bacterial small subunit ribosomal RNA", at positions 524 to 776 of the family's 1533-position model. The record is from RNAcentral.